Molecule: ribosomal RNA, 407 nt
Filed under: uncultured bacterium
Lineage: Bacteria
Description: bacterial SSU rRNA
Rfam family: Bacterial small subunit ribosomal RNA
Source: RNAcentral
UCGAGAAUCUUCCGCAAUGGGCGCAAGCCUGACGGAGCAAUGCCGCGUGAGGGAUGACGGCCUUCGGGUUGUAAACCUCUGUCAUCCGGGACGAAACCAAUGACGGUACCGGAAAAGGAAGCCACGGCUAACCACGUGCCAGCAGCCGCGGUAACACGUGGGUGGCGAGCGUUAUUCGGAUUUACUGGGCGUAAAGGGUCCGCAGGGGGCCUGCCACGCCCGCCGUGAAAUUUCAGGGCUCAACCCUGAACCUGCGGCGGGUACGGGCGGGCUGGAGUGGAGGAAGGGCAGACGGAAUUCCAGGUGUAGCGGUGGAAUGCGUAGAUAUCUGGAGGAACACCGAUGGCGAAGGCGGUCUGCUGGCCUGCAACUGACCCUCAUGGACGAGAGCGUGGGUAGCAAACAGG